RNAcentral lists this ribosomal RNA (497 nucleotides) under uncultured bacterium. RNAcentral describes it as "partial 16S ribosomal RNA". It matches the Rfam family "Bacterial small subunit ribosomal RNA", at positions 28 to 507 of the family's 1533-position model. The record is from RNAcentral.
GAUGAACGCUGGCGGCGUGCCUAAUACAUGCAAAUCGAGCGAACAGACGAGGAGCUUGCUCCUCUGACGUUAGCGGCGGACGGGUGAGUAACACGUGGAUAACCUACCUAUAAGACUGGGAUAACUUCGGGAAACCGGAGCUAAUACCGGAUAAUAUAUUGAACCGCAUGGUUCAAUAGUGAAAGACGGUUUUGCUGUCACUUAUAGAUGGAUCCACGCCGCAUUAGCUAGUUGGUAAGGUAACGGCUUACCAAGGCAACGAUGCGUAGCCGACCUGAGAGGGUGAUCGGCCACACUGGAACUGAGACACGGUCCAGACUCCUACGGGAGGCAGCAGUAGGGAAUCUUCCGCAAUGGGCGAAAGCCUGACGGAGCAACGCCGCGUGAGUGAUGAAGGUCUUCGGAUCGUAAAACUCUGUUAUUAGGGAAGAACAAAUGUGUAAGUAACUAUGCACGUCUUGACGGUACCUAAUCAGAAAGCCACGGCUAACUACGUG